Non-coding RNA from Nicotiana tabacum (common tobacco), 1058 nucleotides. The record is from RefSeq and is a predicted model, not a curated record. Lineage: Eukaryota; Viridiplantae; Streptophyta; Magnoliopsida; Solanales; Solanaceae.
UCUAACAAUUCCAAGAGCGGGACCUGUUUUCACAAUCUCUCCAAAUUGUUUUUCAUUUCCCUCCUUAAUAUUAAUUAACUAUUUUUUUUAUCUUUUAUUCAUCAAUAUCCUAGAGGAAUGACAAAUGAAAAUCAACCGAAACCCUAACACUCUACAUUCAUUUCUAUUUACUGCUGGAUCGGUUACUCUGCGACAAGGUGGGUGUGGCCCCUAUUGAGGAAAAGAUGCAGGAAGCGUGGCUUAGGUGACUUGGUCAUGUGAGGAGGAGUAGCUCUCAUGAGAGUUAACGACGAAAGAUAGUAAGACAAUUAUUGUUGUGAUUGGUGAUAUACUGUUUUAUUUCCCUUCAUGCACAGAUAGAUCAGAAACUAUCACAAGAUACUAGACAAGCUAUUUGUAAUGUAGUGCAAAAGCUAAAUACUAAUCUUCUUGUACUAAAUUUUCAUGAAACCUGAAAGCUUAAAAGAUUUGUUUCCUAUCCAUGAUGUUACUGUUGCUGCAAUUGUUGGAUAAGUUUCUGCUGCUGAGAUUACUUAGUUCAUCUUCAAUGGAAUUAGUUUUAUUGUUAAUUAGUCUUCUCAUUCUCUUCAAGAUUCUUAUGUCUAUAUUAUUAAGAUGAUGUUCCAUAGAGAAAAAUUAGUUUGUAACAUCUAACUUGAUUAUCGGCACAGAGUUUGGGGAGAUUUUCUUAAGCUUACAUUGGAGGUAGGCUUAUACAUUAAAAUAUUUAACAUACUUAUCUGGUGCACUUGUCUCCUAAAGUGUUGAUUUUUAUAAUAGGUUCUCGAUGCAAAUAGCUGCCAGGAACGAGCUACAUAAACGUCAUGAAUGCCAUUUCAAAGUAAUGAUUUACAGGUUGAUGAUUCAGAGCACUAGGAUUCUUGUACCAGCUAUUUGGUGAUCCCUAGUUUUUUCGGGGCAUUAUCAUUACUACAGUCUUUAGUAUUUUUAGACAGUCAAUGUUUUCAUUACUUCAUUAGAGACUUCAUAGACUAGAGUAACAGUUAGACAGAGUCAUAGGCUUUUCAUAUUAAGCUAUGUUGGCUACAAAUAUGUUU